Molecule: RNA transcript, 1510 nt
Organism: Musa acuminata AAA Group (dessert banana)
Lineage: Eukaryota; Viridiplantae; Streptophyta; Magnoliopsida; Zingiberales; Musaceae
Gene name: pumilio homolog 24-like
Exons: 4
Source: RefSeq, a predicted model, not a curated record
CAUCCAAAAACCCUUAGGUCGUCCUUCCAUAAGUUAACCCGCGUCGGAAGAGCUCUCUCCUUCGAUCGCUUAUGGCGGCCGUUGGGGAGGUCAGCGGAUCCAAGAAGAGGAAGCGCUUGCCCUUAGCGGCAAAGGGAGGGGGGAAGCCCAAGUUUACGUAGCUUAAGAACGCUGCUGCCAAGCCGACGAAGCUCAAAACGCAUGGCUUCAAGAAGCAGUCCAAGGCAUUCGAGUUAAAACCGGGAAAGCCUACCAAGGCCGGCGAUGAGGCCGUUGUACAGGCGAAGAAGGAGCCUAAGACCCCAAGGGAGAGGCGCUUAGCUGCCAAGCUAGCUGUUGGUGGAAGUGACGGUAUCUUGCAAUCUUUUGCUGAUAGAAUGGAUGCCUUGCAUAAAGCAAUAGCUUCUCUGGCAGCCCUGCCCAAGACAAAUAAGUCACAAGAGGAGCAUGUUUUGGAGAACUUCCACUCCAGUAGGCUCAUCAGGAAGCUCGUCCUUGGUUUCGUAGCCACUCUAUGGAAAAUGGCUUUGGAUGGGAAGUGCGACGUCUGGGCUCAAGGCCACAGCAGUUGCAAGGUGCUUCUCGCAUUCCUAGAAUCAUCGGUUUCAGAAGUUAAAGACUUGGCGAAGCCUGAGCUUCAGCCUUUGAUGGAUUGUUGUGUUCUUAAAACUCCUGAGAAUAAGGAGGAUGAAGGGUGUGAAUGCUGAUGACAAAAAAGGGUUUAUCUAUUAACCUUUCAACUGUUUUUGUUGUUAAUAUUUCCUGAUUCUUGUUGAACAUAAUUUUUCAGUUCAUUCUACUCAUUCUAUCUGCCCUCUUGUUGCCAUGUAAUUUUGAUGAUUAUUCCCAUUAACUCCUCGGUAGUGAAAAUAUUUUCUUGACAUUCAUUGGAGAAACUUCUUUAUGUAUAUAAUGAUUAGUCUUUCUUUUAAUAUUGAUCUGCAGAAUGCAGUCAUGUAUUUGUUUUUUUUUUAAUUUUUAUAAAGAAUAAAUUUUAUCCAAAUGAUCUUAUGUCAAUAAGUGAAAGAAGAAAAAGAUAUGAUGUAACCUUACAUUUUUUGUUUGCCUUGGAUGAUAAAACUUUCUGCAAACUUAAUCCUGUCUAAGUUAAUUUUAGUUUGUGAAGUGGCCAUUUUGUCUAUGUCAUUUCCCAUGAUUAAUACAUGUUCUUAUCAUUCCUGAUUUCUGUUGGCUCUGUUUACAAGCAGGGGCCUGGAGGCCAACAACCUUCUGCGCCUGCUGCCCAACCUGAGGUUCCCAAGAAAGCUAAAAAGUAGAAGGAUGACGAUGGUUUCUAUUGUAAAUCAUUAGUUGCAGAAUGGAAGCAUCAGCAAAUGGAUUAUUUCUUUACAUUUUCAAGCUGUGAGACAAUGCUAGAAGAAGAGAGAAAAUAGAAGCUAUGUUUCACUUAUUCUAAGUUCCUUUCCGUGUUUAGCCAGUUGGAUAUGCUACUUUUCACUAAUGGUAUUACCAUAUUUUGAGUGCUUAGAAACAUUGUGCAUUCCCUUUU